RNAcentral lists this ribosomal RNA (495 nucleotides) under uncultured bacterium. RNAcentral's name for it is "partial 16S ribosomal RNA". It matches the Rfam family "Bacterial small subunit ribosomal RNA", at positions 28 to 507 of the family's 1533-position model. The record is from RNAcentral.
GGCGAACGCUGGCGGCGUGCCUAAUACAUGCGAGUCGAACGCUGAAGGAGGAGCUUGCUUCUCUGGAUGAGUUGCGAACGGGUGAGUAACGCGUAGGUAACCUGCCUGGUAGCGGGGGAUAACUAUUGGAAACGAUAGCUAAUACCGCAUAAGAGUAGAUGUUGCAUGACAUUUGCUUAAAAGGUGCAAUUGCAUCACUACCAGAUGGACCUGCGUUGUAUUAGCUAGUUGGUGGGGUAACGGCUUACCAAGGCGACGAUACAUAGCCGACCUGAGAGGGUGAUCGGCCACACUGGGACUGAGACACGGCCCAGACUCCUACGGGAGGCAGCAGUAGGGAAUCUUCGGCAAGGGACGGAAGUCUGACCGAGCAACGCCGCGUGAGUGAAGAAGGGUUUCGGAUCGUAAAGCUCUGUUGUAAGAGAAGAACGAGUGUGAGAGUGGAAAGUUCACACUGUGACGGUAUCUUACCAGAAAGGGACGGCUAACUACGUG